AUCACCAAGGACAUGCACGAGCGCAAGCAACUGAUGUUCGAGCACUCCGACGCGUUCGUCGCGUUUCCCGGCGGCGUCGGCACGCUGGAAGAACUGGUCGAGCAGAUGACGUGGUCGCAGCUCGGCCGCCACAGCAAGCCGAUCCUGCUCGCCAAUAUCGAGGGGUUCUGGAAUCCCCUGCUCGCGCUGAUCGAUCACAUGAAGCAGACGGCGUUCAUCCGCGCCAACCUGUGGGUCGAUGUUCUGACCGCCGAUCGCGUCGAGGACAUUCUCCCGACGCUUCAGAAGGUCGCUGCGCAAGUGCCCGAAGCGGCCAAGCUGAUGGAC
This 327-nucleotide unclassified non-coding RNA is filed under the name Hevea brasiliensis (rubber tree). Lineage: Eukaryota; Viridiplantae; Streptophyta; Magnoliopsida; Malpighiales; Euphorbiaceae. The record is from RNAcentral.